CUUAUAUAGGCAUGGGCGUGGUCUCAUUCCACAUAUGGCCCCGCCUCUCAUCUACCAUUGGACUGUUCCCUCAGACAGCGCGUGCGCAUUGCGGCUUCUGGGCGGGGCACACAUAGCACCGCCCCUCAUCUCCCAUUGGUCCGUUUCCUCAGGCAGCGCGUGCGCAGUGGUUCUUAAAGGGUGGGGCACAUAUAGCCCCGCCCCUCAUCUCCCAUUGGUCCGUUCCUGCGGGCGGCGCGUGCGCAGUGCGCGUUGAGGGCGGGACCGGCGGGAGCGGGAAAACGCGAACCGGGAAACGGGAAAAACCGGAACCGGAACCGCGGAACGGGAACGGAGCGGGAAAAACGGGAACCGGGGAACGGGAAAAUCCGGAACCAGAACCGGGAACGGACCGGGAAAAACCGGAACCGGGGAACGGAAAAACCCGGAACCGGAACAGGGAACGGACCGGGAAAAACUGGAACCGGGAACCGGUCCCGGGGAGCCCCCGGCAGCCCCGGGAUGAGGCGGCGGUGCGGGGGCGGCGCGGCCCCGGCCGAGGCCUGCGGGGUGUGGCUGGACACGGCGGAGCUGAAGCGGGGCCGGGCGCGGCCCCUCACGCUCAGAGCACCCAGAAGUGCAGGGAGGAAGCAGAGCCCGGGGCUGCUCCCACAGCCCGGCAGCGGGGACAGCAACCCCCGGCACAGCAUCGGCCCCAGGCACAGCCCCAGCUCCUGGCAGAGCUCCAUCCUCAGCUUCUUCAGCCCCCAGCCAGAUGACAAAGAGAACAUCAGGCCCGCUGCUCGCCGUGAGGAGCCCAGGGUGAAGAUCCUGCCCCUGCCCCAGCUGGAGGGAGCCCAGGAGGAGCCGCCCGGGGCUGGGCAGGGCCGGCAGGGCCCAGCCCGGGCAGCACAAACAGCCCCGGAGCUCAGGGUGGGCUCGCAGGGGCUCAGCAGAGCCUCCCCCGGGGCUGGGGGCCAUUCCUGGGACAAACCCUGGGUGUCCCCUGCAGGAACGGCCCCAGGGGCCAGGACAGCUCUGCCGUGCCCCAGAGCUGGGGCUGGGGGCACAAACCCGGCCCUGGGGGCUGCUCCCAGCCGGGGCUGCUGCUCCCCACAGAGCCCGGGGCCAGCACAGCCCCUGCGGGAGCGGGGCCAGGGCCGGGUGGGGCCCUGCAGGGAGAGCCAGGGCUGCAGGGACAGGGACACCCAGAACCCCAACAGGGACAGGGACAGCCCCAACAGGGACACCCAGAGCCCCAACAGGGACAGGGACACCCAGAGCCCCAACAGGGACAGGGACAGGGACUGGGACAGUGCACACAGGGACAGGGACAGCCCCAGGGCCACCCCCUGCCUCUCCAGGGACAGGGACAGGAACAGUGCCCACAGGGACAGGGACAAGGACAGGGCCAGCCCCAGCCCCUCCAGGGACAGGGACAGCCCCAGGUUCCCCCUCAGGGUCACCCCCAGCCCCCCGGAGCCCCCCGAGCUGGGCUCUGAGCCCCUGUUCACGCAGGACUCAGAAGGGAACAGGGUCAUCAAGCACUGGUGAGAGCCCAGCCGGGCCCUGCGGUGCUCACAGAGGGGAGGGAACCCCCUGGUGCAGCCCCCAGCUCCUGUUUGUUCUCAUGGAUGCUGCUUUAAUCCAAAUAAAAGUUGCAGUUUGUUUCUUUUUGGCUCUGGC
This is a long non-coding RNA of Junco hyemalis (dark-eyed junco), 1665 nucleotides long. Lineage: Eukaryota; Metazoa; Chordata; Aves; Passeriformes; Passerellidae. The record is from Ensembl.